UGAUAAUUGGACCUGUUGAUAAAUUCGCUGU
RNAcentral lists this non-coding RNA (31 nucleotides) under Rattus norvegicus (Norway rat). Lineage: Eukaryota; Metazoa; Chordata; Mammalia; Rodentia; Muridae. The record is from RNAcentral.